AAUUUAAGCAUAUCACUAAGCGGAGGAAAAGAAACUAACCAGGAUUCCCCUAGUAACGGCGAGUGAAGAGGGAUUAGCCCAGCACCGAAGCCUGCGGCAGUUUUGCUGUUAGGCAAUGUGGUGUUUGGGUCGGCUCGUGGGAUUGCCACUCCAUUCGAAGUCCAGCAUUGAGUAUGGUCACUGGAUUUGGCCCAGAGAGGGUGAAAGGCCCGUACGAAUGGAGGUUCAGACAAGUAAGGCAGUUCACCAGGCCGGCCUUAGAGUCGGGUUGUUUGAGAAUGCAGCCCAAAGUGGGUGGUAAACUCCAUCCAAGGCUAAAUACUAGCACGAGUCCGAUAGCGAACAAGUACCGUGAGGGAAAGUUGAAAAGUACUUUGAAGAGAGAGUAAACAGUACGUGAAACCGCAUGCAGGUAAACGGGUGGCGUCAAGCUGCAAGCCCGGAGGAUUCAGCUGGCUAGGAUGUUGUAUAUGCGCCUGGCGCAUCUAUCAGUCGGAGUAGGAUGUGUUAGUCCACUGGGAUACGGUGGGCCCGGCCGCAAGGUUGGGAUAUGUGUACCGGGUGUUUGCCGGAGCAUGCUAUCCAUCUGUUGGACUGUCUAGUCAGUGCACUUUCUCUGUGGUGAACACCACGACCGGUGGUAUUGCCAGUCUGCUGUAGCCAAGUCGUAUUCAGUGGGUUCUUGUAAUCAACUGGGUGCGAUCACAGGCAAACUCAGUAAACGGCGUAGGGGUGUUUCGGCAUCUCUGCGUGUUAUCGGCUACUGGUUGUCAACGGGCCUGCCUGAUGAUUGUUGUAAUCGUCGUCGGGUGGUCUGGUGGGUUAUGGUGGUAUGAAUAACUGUGCAAGGCACCGGAGUUCUCGGCCUCAAAUGCAUCCUGCGCACACAUUACAAGUGGAGCGGGGUGCCAUUGUAGCCUGCCUAAUGUUGGGUCUGAUUGUCGUGUCGCCUGCGAAAAGUGGGCCCGGCAGUGGCCUGAUGUGGGAUGGGUUGCGGAUGGUGCCUCCUGUGUAGGGUGCUGUUGGCCAAAUAGUCAGUGGUGUAGUGGUAGACGAGCUACCCGACCCGUCUUGAAACACGGACCAAGGAGUUUAACAUGUAUGCAAGUCAAAGGGCCCUACGAAACCCCAAGGCGCAGUGAAAGUAAAGCUUCGACCUGUUCUCGGAGUGAGGUGAGAUCCUGCCGUUACUCGCAUCAGCCUUAUGUCAGCAUCAGGCUAAGAGCGGUGGGCGCAUCACCGGCCCGUCCCAUGAUGUGGUCAUUGGAUUUCUGUAGUCGUUGCUUGCAGCGGCUGUGGAGCCAGUGCGUCAUCGGGGCGGAGCAUGAGCAUACAUGUUGAGACCCGAAAGAUGGUGAACUAUGCUUGCGUAGGUUGAAGCCAGAGGAAACUCUGGUGGAGGACCGCAGCGAUUCUGACGUGCAAAUCGAUCGUCAAACGUGAGUAUAGGGGCGAAAGACUAAUCGAACCAUCUAGUAGCUGGUUCCCUCCGAAGUUUCCCUCAGGAUAGCUGGCGCUCAUUCGCAUGAUCAGUUUUAUCCGGUAAAGCGAAUGAUUAGAGGUACUGGGUUCGAAACGAGCUCAACCUAUUCUCAAACUUUAAAUGGGUGAGAUGCCCGGCUCGCCUAAUAGGAGUCGGGCGUUGAAUGUGUGAGUGCCAAGUGGGCCAUUUUUGGUAAGCAGAACUGGCGCUGUGGGAUGAACCAAACGCUCGGUUAAGGUGCCUAACGCGACGCUCAUGAGAUACCACAAAAGGUGUUGGUUAAUAUAGACAGCAGGACGGUGGCCAUGGAAGUCGGCAUCCGCUAAGGAGUGUGUA
RNAcentral lists this ribosomal RNA (1819 nucleotides) under Phyllobothriidea gen n. sp. 2 HR-2018. RNAcentral's name for it is "LSU rRNA". It matches the Rfam family "Eukaryotic large subunit ribosomal RNA", at positions 31 to 1284 of the family's 3401-position model. The record is from RNAcentral. Lineage: Eukaryota; Metazoa; Platyhelminthes; Cestoda; Phyllobothriidea.